This 30-nucleotide non-coding RNA is filed under the name Rattus norvegicus (Norway rat). The record is from RNAcentral. Lineage: Eukaryota; Metazoa; Chordata; Mammalia; Rodentia; Muridae.
UCCUUACUGAAUGUGGAAAUCAUGGGAAAU